GUCCAGCUGACGAGUUCCAAAUCCGACGAAACACACGUCCUGGAU
This 45-nucleotide non-coding RNA is filed under the name Schistosoma mansoni. The record is from RNAcentral. Lineage: Eukaryota; Metazoa; Platyhelminthes; Trematoda; Strigeidida; Schistosomatidae.